GUUAAGUCACGGCAACGAGCGAGACCCACGCCCACAGUUGCCAGCGUACUCUCCGGAGUGACGGGUACACUGUGGGACCGCCGCUGCUAAAGCGGAGGAAGGAAUGGGCAACGGUAGGUCAGUAUGCCCCGAAUAUCCCGGGCUACACGCGAGCUACAAUGGUUGGUACAAUGGGGUAUCUACCCCGAAAGGGGACGGGAAUCUCCUAAAACCAAUCUUAGUUCGGAUUGAGGGCUGCAACUCGCCCUCAUGAAGCUGGAAUCCGUAGUAAUCGCGUUUCAACAGAACGCGGUGAAUACGUCCCUGCUCCUU
Molecule: ribosomal RNA, 312 nt
Filed under: uncultured Methanosaeta sp.
Lineage: Archaea; Methanobacteriati; Methanobacteriota; Methanomicrobia; Methanotrichales; Methanotrichaceae
Description: bacterial SSU rRNA
Rfam family: Archaeal small subunit ribosomal RNA
Source: RNAcentral